CCUACGGGUGGCUGCAGUGAGGAAUAUUGGUCAAUGGACGGAAGUCUGAACCAGCCAAGUAGCGUGCAGGACGACGGCCCUAUGGGUUGUAAACUGCUUUUAUGUGGGAAUAAAGUGAGGGACGUGUCCCUUUUUGUAGGUACCACAUGAAUAAGGACCGGCUAAUUCCGUGCCAGCAGCCGCGGUAAUACGGAAGGUCCGGGCGUUAUCCGGAUUUAUUGGGUUUAAAGGGAGCGUAGGCCGUCUUUUAAGCGUGUUGUGAAAUACUGUCGCUC
RNAcentral lists this ribosomal RNA (275 nucleotides) under uncultured Prevotella sp. Its description in RNAcentral is "partial 16S ribosomal RNA". It matches the Rfam family "Bacterial small subunit ribosomal RNA", at positions 338 to 610 of the family's 1533-position model. The record is from RNAcentral. Lineage: Bacteria; Pseudomonadati; Bacteroidota; Bacteroidia; Bacteroidales; Prevotellaceae.